AUUGAACGCUGGCGGCAGGCCUAACACAUGCAAGUCGAACGAGUGGCGGACGGGUGAGUAAUGUCUGGGACACUGCCCGAUGGAGGGGGGGAACUCCUGGAAACGGUAGCUAAUACCGCAUACCAUCGGAUUUGCACAGAUGGGAUUAGCUAGGAGGUGGGGUAACGGCUCACCUAGGAGACGAGCCCUAGCUGGUCUGAGAGGAUGACCAGCCACACUGGAACUGAGACACGGGCCAGACUCCUACGGGAGGCAGCAGUGGGGAAUAUUGCACAAUGGGCGCAAGCCUGAUGCAGCCAUGCCGCGUGUAUGAAGAAGGCCUUCGGGUUGUAAAGUACUUUCAGCGAGGAGGCGUUACUCGCAGAAGAAGCACCGGCUAACUCCGUGCCAGCAGCCGCGGUAAUUC
This 406-nucleotide ribosomal RNA is filed under the name uncultured bacterium. Its description in RNAcentral is "partial 16S ribosomal RNA". It matches the Rfam family "Bacterial small subunit ribosomal RNA", at positions 30 to 526 of the family's 1533-position model. The record is from RNAcentral.